Long non-coding RNA from Diabrotica virgifera virgifera (western corn rootworm), 6522 nucleotides. RefSeq lists it as uncharacterized. The record is from RefSeq and is a predicted model, not a curated record. Lineage: Eukaryota; Metazoa; Arthropoda; Insecta; Coleoptera; Chrysomelidae. The transcript has 2 exons.
CAAGCUGAAAAUUGAUCUAAGACUUGAUGGUGCAACGCAUAUGUUUAGUAAGCUGAGCUUAAGGCAUGUUUUAAGCUUAGGAUCUGUUGGUGCAACCAGGCAUAAAUCAUUCUUCUUCUUAAAGUUCCAUCUCCUAGCGGAGGUUGGAUAUCAUAAUGGCUAUGGUCACUUUGUUGGCUGCUGCUCUGAACAGUUGUAAUGAACUACAGUUAAACCAUUCUCUAAGGUUCCUCAGCCAGGAAAUGCGUCUUCUUCCUUGGAUCCUUCCUUGCAUAACAAUUCUCAGCAACUUGUAUUUUUUUCUCCUCUGGUAAUGUGACCCAAAUAUUCCAGUUUUCUAGUUUUUAUACUCUUCACAAUUAUUUCUAACUCCUUAUUUAAACGUCGCGGUCGUAGCACUUCAACAUUGGUAAUCCUUUGAACCCACUGAAUUUUCAAUAUUCUUCUGUAACACCACAUUUGGAACGCUUCUAUUCUUCUUAUGUGUUGUCUCUUCAAUGUCCAAGCUUCCAUUCCGUAUAGCAAUAUAAAAAAUAUGUAGCAUCUUUGAGCCCUCAAUCUGAGAGGCAACUGAAGGUCUUUGUUUGUAAGCGGUGUCUUCAUUUUUAUAAAUGCUUGCCUUACAGUUUCAAUUCGGACUUUAAUUUCUUGGCUUUGGUCAUUUUUGUCAUCAACCCAGGUUCCCAGAUAUUUGUAUGUCUUCACUUUUUCUAUUUGGAUUUGCUCUAUCAUUAACCUUUCAUUUCCAUGUUCUGUUUUUGAGACAAACAUGAAUUUAGUUUUUUUCUUGUUUAUUUUUAGUCCGUAUCGAAUGCAAUAAUCGUUAAUUCUAUUUAGCAAUUCUUGUAGCGAUUCCAGUGUGUCUACCAUUAUAACAGAGUCAUCAGCGAAUCUUAUGUUAUUUACUAUUCUUCCGGUUAUAGAGAUUCCAUCACUUAGCUCCGCUAUCGCUUCCUGAAAUAUGGCUUCACUGUACAGGUUAAACAGUAGCGGCGACAGAACACAACCCUGUCUUAUUGCUCUCUUUAUAUCAAUAUUCUCGGAUUCUUGUUCUUCUAUCUUUAUAUUGGCCUUUUGAUUCCAAUACAGAUUGAUGAUAAUUCGUAAAUCUCGUCUGUCUAUAUCUCUGUUUUUCAAUAAUUCUAUUAGUUUUUUAUGUCGGACCCUGUCAAACGCUUUUUCGAAGUCGAUGAAACAGGAAUAAAUAUCCAGGUUCAUAUCUAAGCAUCGUUGAGAGAGGACAUUAAACGCAAACAAUGCCUCUCUUGUUAUAAGUCCUUUACGUAACCCAAAUUGGGUAUCAUCCAUAUCAUAUUCUAGCUUUCUGUAUAAUCUUCCAUGAAUCACCUUUAGAAAUAUUUUACUGCGCAUCAUCGUCGUAUUAUUUAUAUUUGUAUAUAUUAUAUAUUACUAUACAGGGUGUUCCUAAAGUAGCGGACAUUUUUUUAGAUUUGUUGACAGAUGGCGCUAAUAAAUCGUAUUUUUCCAAUUACAGCGCCAUCUCUCAACAAUUCUAAAAAAUGUGUCGAAUAAAUAUUCCUAAUUUUUUGAUGAGCAAUCCAAAUCUGCAUUAAAAAUCGAGGGUUCAUAUUUAAGAUUUUAAAGUUACCCCCACCCCACCUCCAGGAGUGGAGUGGAGGCCGUGUUUGGUAUCAUUCGAUAGAUUUUUGAAAAAUAUUGAAAAUGUAGUUUUCGGUUUUUCGAUCAGAUGUGAACAUUUCGCGAAAUAUUCGAUCGUCUUGCUACUUUUGGGACACCCUGUAAAAUAAUAUAUAAUAGGUUUGUUCUAGCAUCAGUUUCAAACGGUUUGAAACCAUCAGCGAAUAGUGGACCAGCGCGAGUAGAGGGAAUAUCACUUUUGACUGUAUUAUGUUCUCUCACUAACCAACUGUUUGCUGGUGGUUUCUGACUAGUUUGACUGUUUGCUAGAACAAACCUAUUAUAUAAUUAUAAAUAAUACGACUGGUAAUGCUCAGUAAAAGAUCUCAGUAGACGGAAUUCAUUAUCUCACUCGUUCGUAUACACUCGAGUACAUAUUGUCUCACGCUCGUACCUACAGUAGACUUUCAAUGUGUCCGGUAAGGUGAAAAAAUCAUUGAAACUGUCCGGCUACUGAGAUAUUCUCUUUUGAUAGCAGUCCAAGUAACAUAUUAUGAAAUUCAGCUUUUAUACUUUAAGGCAUGAUACUAUAAAUAACGAGAUAGUAUCUUCCCGUAACUCAAAUACGUCCGAAUUCGCGCAUUAUGACGUAACUGGAGACCGGAAAUUGAAUUGGAAUUCUUGUUAAAGUUAAAUGGGAUUUGUAUGCAUUCUGUGAUGAAAUUAUUCAAUUAGCAAAAUAAUAUUAAACUUCAAUAUAUUCGAAAAAAAUUUAGUGUCGAGAUUCCUCUCAAAAUAACUGUCAAAGAUAAAAUAUAAAAUACACUUAGCCUACAACCGCGAACAAUUAAAACUAAUCGGACAUUACGGAUGAUUACGAACCAUUACGAACGUAAGGUCUCCAGUUACGUCACGACUUCAGGAUGUGCGAUAUAUUAGGUUCGUUCCAAGACGACACAUUUGUACGAUCCCUUGAACCGUCACGAAAUCGAUUGGACUGUCUUAAUGCGCAGAAUCGCCCUUGAACGGUUUUAUUUCGAUCGCGAACCGAUUACCCGUAGUAACCCUCUUGGAACGUAUUUGUGUACCAUUUCAAGUUCGAGUUGCGCCUGAGCCAUUUUAAUGAGAGUACCACUAGUAGUUUGCUAGAUGGUUAGAAAUUAUCAUUUCUAACAUGUUCAUUAAAUAUCACUUCAAAAUCUUCGUCAGAAUCGAUAUCUGACAAAUCGCUCUCUUUUAUGGAAAAAAAAUAAUAAAUUAUCCAUAUUUUUAAGAUUAAUUUGAAAAAAAAAGAAUUAAUAAUUAUUUAAACGAAAAUCAAGAUUCACAGGUACUAAUAGCGUGGAUUGUGGAUUAUUUUGAUUGAAUCAUCAGCUGAUCUCAUAGCAGUGACCAUUAAAAAUGAAAACAAUCCUAACUGCGCAAGUCAGUACAAAUAGUUUCUGCUUGAAGGCAUGUAUCAAAAGGACCGUUCAUUUACCGAUUUCGAAACGGUACAUGGAUCGCUUGGAACAACACAGUGUACGAUACGAAUCAUCGUUCAUGUUCACUUGGAACGCAUUUUUUAUAAUGCGCAUGACGAGGGCAGUACGAAGGACGGUUUUCAUGUUACUUGGAACGCGCCUAUUAUCUUGUUAUUUAUAAGGCUUGUUCCAACUUGACACAAAACCGUUCUUGAACCGCCACGCUCAUGCGCAAUAACGGACAAUUAUGCGCAGUAACACAUUUUUCGUUACUGCGCGGUUCACGAACCGUUCAAGAACGGUCUUGUGUCGAGUUGGAACAAGCCUAUAGUAUCAUGCUUCAAGGAAAGUAACAUAAUAUUUUACACACCUUUGCUACCUGUUACCUGCUCAAGUAACCACGAUCCAAAGUCCGUACUCGCUUAUCGUUUUUACCUGUGUUGGGGACAUGCGCAGAGAUCUUUCAGCUUUCAUUAAAUAUGGAAUGCCUAGCGGCCACGGGGCCUUGGGCUAUAACGUAAAGUUCUGAUUAAUGGAAUAUAGGCCUUCUCAGUGGUGUGUAAAAAUUAUAAAAGUAUAUAUUUUACGCUUUACCAAGUAACUACUAAAUUAGCGAGUUAUAUAAAUGUCAAUUAUUUAUUGAAUUCUUGUGAACAUCUUGUAUGGAAUGAUGAAUGAUAAAUGGUAUGGUACAAAAUAUUUACUUAUAUUGAUUUAAUUUUAUAUUCAAUUUUUUAAACAUUGAUCGUCAUAUAAAAUAAAAAGGGGACAUACAAUGUUUGUUCUAAAAUGAUCCGACCUUUGUUCAUAAUGUCAUUCAUCUCCAUCCAGCUUGGGUCAUUAUUGGACUUAACGAUAAGCAUUCGUCGGUGCUUAAGUUUUCUUCUUACAGUGCAUAUCCGUUUCGGGUGUUGGCGACCAUCAUGGCAAUCAGCAGUUUGCACACUGCUGCUCUAAUAAGAUUUGUGGUUGUUGUGUUGAACCACGUACGUGGAUUUUCAGCCAGCACAUCCUUCGCCUUCCUGGUCUUCAUUUUCCUUCUACUUUUCCUUGUAAAUUAGUUGCAGCAGUCCAUAUUUCGCUGUUCCUCAUGCUGUAAUCGAGGAAUUCGAUUUUGGUCGUGUUUAUUAUGGUUAAGUGCUCUUUUUCUUUUUGUAUGUUUAAUAAAAAACCCUGAUUAGUAACGUGGUCGAUACACGAUAUCUUCAGGAUUCGACGAUAACGCCACAUUUCGAAAUACUCAAUUUUCUUGCAGGUGGCGUCUACGAGAGUCCACGACUCAACUUCGUACAACAGUCUAAGCCAUCAUAGUAACCUGAAUGUUAUGGGAAUUGAUAAAUCAUGACAUUUGAAUAGCUUAGCCAUUUUUGAAAUACAGAUCGUGCUUCCUCUAUCCUACAUUCGAUUUCUAUGGAAGGAUCCCAAUUUUCAUUGGUGUUCGUACCAAGGUUGGUGCAUGUUUUUGCUCUUUCUAUUUGUUGACAGUUCACACUCAGUUGUCCAAAUUUCUUCAGUCACUGAAGUAAUUCUGAAAUUCAGUUUUUGUAAUGCCUUCAAGACCAUCGUCACAUUCGUUUGAAUCAUCUCUAUGUAGUGGAAACGUUACAGGCUGUUGUCUGGACUUUAUGGAGACUGACGGAGUUGUACCCUUGUGUUUUUCCAAAAAGUCUUGCAGUAGGUUUGACAAAUGUGCUGGCGCAUUAUCGUUAUGAAGAAAACUUCAUUCCAAAAAUGUGGUCGGCUUUUUUUAGAACUAGUACUUAUAAUUCUUUGGUUAUUGUCUGACCUCUUGGAGCGUAUUUAUGGAGCAUAGACGCCCGGAUGGAAGCUUUCUUUAUGAAGACUGCUCUUUUGUUUCAGAGUCAUAACUGUAAACCCACGUCUCAAGAGUCAUAUCUUUUAAGCAUGAUUUUAUCAUGAGCGACCAUUUUUAAGUUUUUUAAUGACUUUCUACUGUACCGUUAUUCAUUUUGGAAUGCUUGACACUCACGCACCUAUCUCAUUCCCAAAUUCUCGAUUAGAAUUGUUAAAAUACUAGUUGUUUUAUAUUCCAUGAUCGUUUUGUAGUUCGUCUAACGACGGUUUUUCGAUUUUAUCCAGUAUCAUAUUUUCUAUAUUUUCCUGUGUUAUGCUGAAAGGUCAAUAUCAACAGACGUGCGGUCAUCUUUAAACCGAUAUAACCAUUCUUUUAUCUGUGUUUUGCGUAUAUACAUUAAUCUUCAAAUCACUUUUGCAUUAUUUGAAUAGUUUCUGGACAUGUUUUUUCGUGUCUGAUGCAAAACUGAAUCCUGAUUGGUUGCUUGUAUCUCCCCCUUAUUUUCAAUGAUAACAUAAAGUAACGAACACAAAAAGACAAUGUAAACAGAAGCAUGCUGUUACGAAGUAGACACUUUCUAUUGGUAAAUACUGCUUACGGAAAUUUCUACUACUGAUUUCGCUCAUACCCCACAGAGGGCACUGAAAUGUUUUGGCGUGAAGUUGUAAGGUAGAAUAAAUACAUUUGGAACAAACCUCGUAUUCAUAUUUUUAUACAGUGAUGAGCGCGCUAAUAACCGGCAAAAUAACGCAAAAGAUGGAAAACAUAAUACCUUGCGCAACACAAAGAGAUGAAAUUAGUGGAGGUGGAAAUGAUAGUUAUAAACGUAUAAAUUAACAUUACAUUACAUAGUUUCCCACCUUUAGACGUAUCGAAGGAGUAUGACAAGUGUCAUUGUGACAGUAGAAUUUAAUAAAAUACUCCUGUCACAGACGUCUAAAGGUGGGAAACUAUGUAAUGUUAAUUAUUUAUACGUUUAGAACGAUAAUUUCCAUUUCCACUAGUUUCAUCUCUUUUUGUUUCGUAAUGUAUUAUGUUUUCCAUCUUUUGCGUUAUUUUUCCGGUUAUUAGCGCAAAUUUCAAUUUCAAAGGAUUUAAAACAUUUCAUCAAAUAUUUAUUAAACAUUAAGGGUCAUAUGGCUUUUCAUUCACAGUCAUUUGUUUCGAGAUUCUGUCAUAUGUUGUAUAAUCUGUGUAUAAUAUUAAUAUACGACAUAUGACAGAAACUCGAAACAAAUGACAAUCGAUGGAAAGCCCUAUUAAGAUGAUAUUCAGAUAAAAUUAAGAAAAGCCAUAUACUGUAAAUGGAAAGAACAACACGAAAUUAUUGUACAUACAUGGACAAACUCUCUUUUGUUUUCUUCCAAAAUGAUGAUGAUAUGACGAUCAAUGUGAUAAAUUUAUGAUGAUUUGUAGAUGUUCUCCAUAAUCUUAACAUUUUGUUGCUAGAUGAUUAAAUGACAUUAAAACACAUUAAACAAUUGGUAAUAUAAUGAUGCAUAUUUUGAUUUUUUACGAAUUGUUCUGUGUUUAGAGGUAAGGACUCUUUUUGUACAUUUGUUAAUACUUUUUGACUGAUCGACUUAAAAGUGAAUGUAUUUAGAAUACGUAAUCAGUUGUACAAUAAACUUUUUUUUAUUAAAA